GGUACAGAGGGCAGCUACCCAGCAAUGGGAUGCGAAUCUCGAAAGCCUGUCUCAGUUCGGAUUGGAGGCUGAAACCCGCCUCCAUGAAGUUGGAUUCGCUAGUAAUCGCGCAUCAGCCAUGGCGCGGUGAAUACGUUCCCGGGCCUUGUACACACCGCCCGUCAAGCCAUGGGAGCCGGGGGUGCCUGAAGUUCGUGACCGCAAGGAUCGCCCUAGGGUAAAACUGGUGACUGGGGCUAAGUCGUAACAAGGUACC
RNAcentral lists this ribosomal RNA (256 nucleotides) under uncultured bacterium. RNAcentral describes it as "partial 16S ribosomal RNA". It matches the Rfam family "Bacterial small subunit ribosomal RNA", at positions 1236 to 1500 of the family's 1533-position model. The record is from RNAcentral.